ACAACGGGUAGCCGGGUUGAGAGACCGACCGGCCAGAUUGGGACUGAGACACGGCCCAGACUCCUACGGGAGGCAGCAGUGGGGAAUCUUGCGCAAUGGGGGGAACCCUGACGCAGCGACGCCGCGUGCGGGACGGAGGCCUUCGGGUCGUAAACCGCUUUCAGCAGGGAAGAGUCAAGACUGUACCUGCAGAAGAAGCCCCGGCUAACUACGUCCCAGCAGCCGCGGUAAUACGUAGGGGGCGAGCGUUAUCCGGAUUCAUUGGGCGUAAAGCGCGCGUAGGCGGCCCGGCAGGCCGGGGGUCGAAGCGGGGGGCUCAACCCCCCGAAGCCCCCGGAACCUCCGCGGCUUGGGUCCGGUAGGGGAGGGUGGAACACCCGGUGUAGCGGUGGAAUGCGCAGAUAUCGGGUGGAACACCGGUGGCGAAGGCGGCCCUCUGGGCCGAGACCGACGCUGAGGCGCGAAAGCUGGGGGAGCGAACAGGAUUAGAUACCCUGGUAGUCCCAGCCGUAAACGA
This 517-nucleotide ribosomal RNA is filed under the name uncultured bacterium. RNAcentral's name for it is "bacterial SSU rRNA". It matches the Rfam family "Bacterial small subunit ribosomal RNA", at positions 276 to 809 of the family's 1533-position model. The record is from RNAcentral.